UACAGAGGUCUCAAGCGUUGUUCGGAAUUACUGGGCGUAAAGGGUGCGCAGGCCGCGCGGGUAGUCAAAUGUGUAAUCCAGGGGCUCAACCCCUGAACUGCGCUUGAUACUUCCGUGCUAGAACUUUGGAGAGGAGUCUGGAAUUCUCGGUGUAGCAGUGAAAUGCGUGGAUAUCGAGAGGAACACCUAGGGCGAAGGCAAGACUCUGGACAAAUGUUGACGCUCAUGCACGAAGGCUAGGGUAGCGAACGGG
This 253-nucleotide ribosomal RNA is filed under the name uncultured bacterium. RNAcentral's name for it is "partial 16S ribosomal RNA". It matches the Rfam family "Bacterial small subunit ribosomal RNA", at positions 524 to 776 of the family's 1533-position model. The record is from RNAcentral.